RNAcentral lists this long non-coding RNA (585 nucleotides) under Struthio camelus australis. RNAcentral describes it as "lncRNA (ENSSCUG00000004753.1)". Lineage: Eukaryota; Metazoa; Chordata; Aves; Struthioniformes; Struthionidae. The record is from RNAcentral.
AAGGCAACGGCGACCAAAGUUUUCCCAGCAGUCGGAAAUCAUUCUUGGCAUUUAUCAGCUCGGCCACGUGUUCAGCUGGUCGGGAUAGCGGCUACGUGGAGAGAUACCAAGACUGAUUGCUCCGUGCAGUCCAGACUUGUAAAACAACCUCUUAGGAGCUGCAUUUCCAUGGCACUGGUGGUUUCGCAGCACAGAUGUGACUUCACAUCUUCACAAGCUUCAACCCUAAGCUUCACAGGGAAAGGAAACAGAAACAGUCGAAGGACCAAGGUUGUGUGCCAAGUCCCAGCUGGGAUUUCUGCAUGACUUCAGGGCUAUGUAUUUCCGAGAGGAUGAUUCUGAAAUCUCAUUUUUUGUAACAUCUUCACCACCAACAACAUUCAAUGAAGGGGAAAAGACGAUGGAGGGGGAGAAGGGAUAGAUCAAAAAGCAAAAGCCAUGGGCAGGCAGUCCCAAAUUCCAGAUUCAGACUCUACAAAACCUGGGCGACUUUUUCAUUCUGGAGUCAGACCUGAACACCAGAAAAAAUUUACCCUAUUUCAGCCAAGCUGAGUUCCCUUUAUAUAACACAGUGGCAUAUCAAUA